CACCAUACAUGAAAACAAGACAAAACUAGGAGAACAGGGCAAGACUAGAAAUAGGCACCAUACAUGAAAACAAGACAAAACUAGGAGAACCCAGAACCAGAGCAGGACAGAAAGCAGAACCUAGAACAUGUACACAAGACAUGAGGAAAACAAGAGCAUAACAUGGGCAUGACUGGACAGGACUGUACAUGGACUGGGAUUACAAGACAAAGUAAAACAAGACAAGAGAUACAAGGUAAAACAAGAGGAAACAUAGCUAAGCACUAAUUAUGAAAAGUAUG
Pelobates cultripes (western spadefoot toad) is the source of this 281-nucleotide non-coding RNA. Lineage: Eukaryota; Metazoa; Chordata; Amphibia; Anura; Pelobatidae. The record is from the annotation of a GenBank genome assembly.